CGUUAUCGUUUGAGAUUCGAACCCAAGACUCUUGUAUGCUAGACGAGCGUGCUACCAACUAAACAACAUAGC
Molecule: transfer RNA, 72 nt
Filed under: Aedes aegypti (yellow fever mosquito)
Lineage: Eukaryota; Metazoa; Arthropoda; Insecta; Diptera; Culicidae
Description: partial tRNA-OTHER
Source: RNAcentral